CGGGGAAAAGCAGGCUCCCCGUCAGACGGUCGAACCGUUCAAGCUCUGC
This 49-nucleotide non-coding RNA is filed under the name unclassified sequences. RNAcentral describes it as "chromate-resist RNA". It matches the Rfam family "chrB-b RNA". The record is from RNAcentral.